This 475-nucleotide ribosomal RNA is filed under the name Streptococcus cristatus. RNAcentral's name for it is "bacterial SSU rRNA". It matches the Rfam family "Bacterial small subunit ribosomal RNA", at positions 28 to 488 of the family's 1533-position model. Lineage: Bacteria; Bacillati; Bacillota; Bacilli; Lactobacillales; Streptococcaceae. The record is from RNAcentral.
GACGAACGCUGGCGGCGUGCCUAAUACAUGCAAGUAGAACGCUGAAGGGAGAGCUUGCUCUUCUGGAUGAGUUGCGAACGGGUGAGUAACGCGUAGGUAGCCUGCCUGGUAGCGGGGGAUAACUAUUGGAAACGAUAGCUAAUACCGCAUAACAUUGACUAUUGCAUGAUAGUUAAUUGAAAGGUGCAAAUGCACCACUACCAGAUGGACCUGCGUUGUAUUAGCUAGUUGGUGGGGUAACGGCUCACCAAGGCGACGAUACAUAGCCGACCUGAGAGGGUGAUCGGCCACACUGGGACUGAGACACGGCCCAGACUCCUACGGGAGGCAGCAGUAGGGAAUCUUCGGCAAUGGACGGAAGUCUGACCGAGCAACGCCGCGUGAGUGAAGAAGGUUUUCGGAUCGUAAAGCUCUGUUGUAAGAGAAGAACGAGUGUGAGAGUGGAAAGUUCACACUGUGACGGUAUCUACCAGAA